This is a long non-coding RNA of Arachis stenosperma, 1854 nucleotides long. RefSeq lists it as uncharacterized. The record is from RefSeq and is a predicted model, not a curated record. The transcript is spliced from 4 exons. NCBI's taxonomy places the organism in Eukaryota, Viridiplantae, Streptophyta, Magnoliopsida, Fabales, Fabaceae.
UUCUAUUCUUUUUUUUUUAUGAACAAAAACAGAAAUACAUGAAAGAAAGUCUUGUAAUCUAAUCCUGUUUUAUCUUAACUAAUUUAAUUACGGGUUAAAUAUGAUAUUUGUGAUACUUAUAAAAUAAAAUUAAAUAUAUUUUUUGGAGUUAUUGGUAAGAGCAUUUUAUACUUAACUUUAAAACAUAUAAAAUUGACUAUAAUUAUGCACUAUCGUCAUGUAUGUACUUGCUCUGAUUCUUAAAUAUGAUUCCAUGUAAUUCUUCAGUUUAGGAGAUUCUUGAUAUCAUGAUCGGUUUGAAUCCGGUUGCUCGAUGGCUUCCCGAUCUGUAAACAAUCGAUAGUAGGGACAGUGGGGGAUCUCAGUUCUCCAUAAGUCUGCCAGCAGAAUGGAUUACAUAGAUGGUAUUGCUGCUGAACUGGUUUCAGCUCCACCUUGUUUAACGACACGUCCACGCAUGGCAGGCUAUCACUGCAUGCGAAGUGAACCGGCUUUACCGUUGAUGUUUGAGACACAGGCUCUGGUGUUAUCCUUACCUAAGCUUCCAAUGCUGAUUCCAUGUCCUGGCCCACAGUUGACAUCGUGUACAAAUACAUUUGAGCACCCAGUUUGUAUGGAAAUACAGUCAUCACCUGCACCAUGGUUGAAAUUCAGAACAAUACUUAUUAGCCAACUCAAAAACUACUUUAUGGUUUUUUUGUGCUUAUCUAAUCCUUGAAAAGAAGUGUUGGAGCAACGGUUGAGUUGUCUCCAUAUAAUCUCAAAGCCACAGGUUCAAGCACUGGAAUCAGCCACUGAUAUAAUUACCAGGUUAGGCUUCCUGCAUUAUACGUUUUGGAUGUGGCCAUUCCCUGACCCCUGCAUUAAUGACUUGGCGCGGGAUACUUGUGCACCAGGCUUAUUCAAUCAUUGAGACUCAAUUGUUUUAAUGAUCAUUGUAAUGCUGCAAUUACUUAUACAUAAUUGAAGUCUUGAAGUAAUUACCACAUGCUAAGUUGCUGGUAUGAAUCAUCACAUUUUUGGAAUUCUGAAGGUGAAUUCCAUCUGUAUUUGGGCUGUUACCAGGGGAUGAUAUGCUAACAUCAUGGACCAGAACCUCAUUGCAGUUGUCAAACUUGAGGUGGCAUUGAGGACUAUUUUGAAUUGUUAUGCCUGUCACUACUGCGUUAAAACUCCCAUAAAAUCUUAAUGCCUGCGCAAAUUAGAAAAACAAGAUUAUGUUAAAACAGUCCCUAAACUUGAUUCAAAACUGCUCUUUGUGGAGUUUCAAACUGAUCUUACAGUUGGCUUGAUGCUUGGCAUUUUCCUCCCCAUAGCACUCUGAACCUAGUAUAGUUGAAGCAUAGUACAUUAUUAGUUUCAAUUUGUUGAUAUUUUGUCAUGUAAAAUUUUGUAGAAGUAACAGAUAAUUUACCGGCACCGGUGGUUUCCAUGUGUGGUUUAAAGGGACUAUGAGCUUUUCUUCACCAUCUAUAGGGUUAUCAAAUGGCUGGUCUUCCCACCAAACUGAGCCUCUUCCAUCAAUGACACCCUUUCCUUGAAUGGUGAUUCCCACCAGCUUUGUAAACUCCAGCCAUUGUAGCAGUCCUCCACACCAAGCAUUUGCAUUUGUUGGAGCAAUAAUUGUACCAUCAAGCUGACACAAAUAAUUGUACCACCCUUAUUAGCCUAGUUUGCGUUGUUGCUACAUUAUUUUUAUUUUUAUUUUUAUUUCUAAUAUUUAGAACUUAUAUAAUAGACAGAAUUGUUAUAAAUGUUCUAGAAAUCAUAAGGACUGUUAGUUGAAAUAAAACAAUAAGACUGGUUUAUGUAAGUCAAUACUCAACAGCAUAUUUCAUCAUUUUGUCUACUCAA